Non-coding RNA from Mycena epipterygia, 96 nucleotides. Lineage: Eukaryota; Fungi; Basidiomycota; Agaricomycetes; Agaricales; Mycenaceae. The record is from the annotation of a GenBank genome assembly.
GACCUAGUGGUGUACGGUGCACACUCGCGAUUUGUACGUUAGCUAUAUAUGUACGCGUUCUCGCGGGAGGACCUGGUUCGACUCCAGGCUAGGCCG